Molecule: ribosomal RNA, 246 nt
Filed under: uncultured Eubacteriales bacterium
Lineage: Bacteria; Bacillati; Bacillota; Clostridia; Eubacteriales
Description: uncultured Clostridiales bacterium partial 16S ribosomal RNA
Rfam family: Bacterial small subunit ribosomal RNA
Source: RNAcentral
CGGAUUAGCGGCGGACGGGUGAGUAACACGUGAGUAACCUGCCUUAGACAUUGGGAUAGCCUCGGGAAACCGGGAUUAAUACCAAAUAAAAUCAUAAUGACACAUGUCAUAACGAUCAAAACUCCGGUGGUCUAAGAUGGACUCGCGUCCCAUUAGCUAGUUGGUAGAGUAAAAGCCUACCAAGGCGACGAUGGGUAGCCGGCCUGAGAGGGCGAACGGCCACAUUGGAACUGAGAAACGGUCCAA